GAGACUGCCGGUGACAAACCGGAGGAAGGUGGGGACGACGUCAAGUCAUCAUGGCCCUUACGACCUGGGCUACACACGUGCUACAAUGGUGGUAACAGAGGGUUAAUCCCUAAAAACCAUCUCAGUUCGGAUUGUCGUCUGCAACUCGACGGCAUGAAGUCGGAAUCGCUAGUAAUCGCGUAACAGCAUGACGCGGUGAAUACGUUCCCGGGCCUUGUACACACCGCCCGUCACACCAUGGGAGUUGGGUUUACCCGAAGGCCGUGCGCCAACCUUUCGAGGGGGCAGCGGACCACGGUGAGCUCAGCGACUGGGGUGAAGUCGAAACAAGGUAGCCGUAGGGGAACCUGCGGCUGG
This 357-nucleotide ribosomal RNA is filed under the name Lingulaulax polyedra. RNAcentral describes it as "Lingulodinium polyedra partial Bacterial small subunit ribosomal RNA". It matches the Rfam family "Bacterial small subunit ribosomal RNA", at positions 1145 to 1521 of the family's 1533-position model. The record is from RNAcentral. Lineage: Eukaryota; Dinophyceae; Gonyaulacales; Lingulodiniaceae.